AGCCGAAUGCCCGCUUUGGGGGAGCGAAGGAUGCUCCAGCUGCUGCCCAGGCGAGGUGGCGAUGCCAGGCGGGACUGGCCACGGAUGAUGAAGACCCGGCUUCCCAAGCGAGCCAGUCCGGGGGCUGAGUGCUCCUCGGCCUCGCACCUGCGCAGUUAGUCCUGGCCCAGACCUGCUGCCGGGAUGGCCUCGGUCUACACAGCUUUGCCCACCUUCCAGGCUAGACAUGGACUCACUAAUCCCAGACUGGCCUGGAACUCAUGGAGAUCCUCCUGGCUCAGCCUCCCAGAGUGCUGGGAUUACAGGCGUGCAUCACCAGGCCAGAGGUCGCCGGAGCAGAGCAGCCGAGAGCCCGGAGACGACCCCGCGCGGAGCUGGGGUUCAGUGCGGGUGCCAGACGCGUCGCCUGGGUCUCCAGCCCUUCCGUGUGGGCGGCGCAGCCCCCCGCCCCCUGCCCCAUUGGCUGCCGCCCUGCGGCCCAAAUAAAUCAGCGGGGACAGGCCGCGCCAGGCCCGGCUGCCGAGGCAGAGCUCGGCCAGGGCCAGCGGGGCCCCAGCGGCCCCGGAGAGGCCGGAGGAGAGGGGGAGGACCUCUGAAGAAAGAAAAACAAAAGCAAGGAAAGAAAGGCGACAAAUCUGAGAAACACGAUUUAAAAAAUACAAUUGGAUUCAAAGGAAAUAAAGCGUCCAGAACAUUUACGUAACUGCUUACACACGAGCUUUGCAAAAUGCAGUCCGUUUCAACACUUGGUCCAACUCGCCACGGGACCGGGACCGAAGCGCUGCGAAACCUUGGACGCCGCGGUGGGAACCUUUCUGGGGGCUGCAGUCGAUCGAACUCGGGUUAAAAUUUAAAGCCCUGGAU
This 864-nucleotide long non-coding RNA is filed under the name Heterocephalus glaber (naked mole-rat). Its description in RNAcentral is "lncRNA (ENSHGLG00100041735.1)". Lineage: Eukaryota; Metazoa; Chordata; Mammalia; Rodentia; Bathyergidae. The record is from RNAcentral.